GCGCGAAUAGUAUAGUGGUUAGUAUAUCUGCCUUCCAAGCAGACAGCCCGGGUUCGAAUCCCGGUUCGCGCA
RNAcentral lists this transfer RNA (72 nucleotides) under Tubulinosema ratisbonensis. It matches the Rfam family "tRNA". Rfam says of the family: Transfer RNA (tRNA) molecules are approximately 80 nucleotides in length. RNAcentral also lists the same sequence under 1 other name. The record is from Rfam by way of RNAcentral. Lineage: Eukaryota; Fungi; Microsporidia; Tubulinosematidae.